RNAcentral lists this long non-coding RNA (1177 nucleotides) under Gossypium barbadense (sea-island cotton). RNAcentral describes it as "long non-coding RNA (GBAR_LNC006253)". The record is from RNAcentral. Lineage: Eukaryota; Viridiplantae; Streptophyta; Magnoliopsida; Malvales; Malvaceae.
GCAGCUUAGCUGCUACAUCAGAAAGCGUCAAAGCGCCAGAUUCAGAAUUAUCCGCAUGGUGGCUUAGCCACUAAUUCAGAUCAGAGUACUUCCUUCUUCAUAGUAUCCCAACCUAUGUAUAUGCAAUGUACAAUGUCCACAUUUAUAGAGUACAGUCCAAUAUCAGAAAUAGCUAUCACAAUUACACUAUACAUAUGUCAAUCAUAGAACAUCAAAAGUUCUCAUACAAUCGAAUUCAGAUCAUUCAUACAUUGAGGAGGUUAAGAUUAGUGUCAGCCACACAAACGACCUCAAAAAAUCAAGAUUCAGACCUAAUUUACAAGCCACACAGCUUGGAGACACACCCGUGUCCUUGCCCAUAUGGUUCACAUGCCCGUGUCCUCUACCGUAUGGUUCCAAAACAUAAACAGUGAGUUACACGGCCUGGACACAUACCCAUGUCCUCUUCCCGUGUGUCUUACACGGUCUAGGAACACGCCCAUGUCAUUGGCCAUGUGGUCCUAAGGCUCAACCAAAAAGUUACACGGCCUAGACGCAUGCCCGUGUCUUUGGCUGUGUGACACCAAGAUAAUGAACAUUGAGUUACACGGCUUAGACACAUUCUUGUGUGAACCAUGCACUAAUAUGCCCACACACGGCCUGGGCAUACGCCCAUGUGACCUCACAGUGAUGAACAGUGAGUUACACGGCCUGGCACAUGGCCGUAUGGCUCAUAUAGCCUGGACACACGCCUGUGUGCCUAGCCAUAUGGCGUCAACAGUGACAUUUUCCAGUGAUCAGAAUUCAUAAAAUUUAAGGUUUUCAGCGCGUACCUGAAGUCAUUUUGAUGUCUGAAUGACGUAAGAGUAUCUCCGAACCUAAUAUGACCAUCCAAGAAUCAAUUUCACAAUCAUUCUUAAUUCAACACAAAGAUCAAUAUAUCAUCAAGGUUAUGUAGAAGAUUUCAACAAAAAUCCUAACUCAAUUUCGCACACCUAUCUCGUACGAACAAUGGAAACUGAACUAACGUGAUGGAGAAGUAUCUCUUGUGAGAACCUCGCCUAACAAAGUAACCAAUUGAGAGUUUAAACAUUGCAUUCAAGUAAAACGAGUUACAACCCCGUUUUAACAAAAUUAACAAUAACAAGACGAACUUGUAACAACGAAAGAAAUAACGUCUAAACUUACACAGUACUUG